RNAcentral lists this long non-coding RNA (468 nucleotides) under Hordeum vulgare. RNAcentral describes it as "long non-coding RNA (HVUL_LNC001304)". Lineage: Eukaryota; Viridiplantae; Streptophyta; Magnoliopsida; Poales; Poaceae. The record is from RNAcentral.
ACGCCAUCGAUCCAUUCUUAGUCCACGUACGCAUACGCAUGGGUCCCGGACGGACGGUGUCGUGUAUCCCGGCGAAUUCAAUGCCAUGUUCGGUGAGCGGAAACGGGCCAGAGGUACCACCAGUACCACUGCUGCCAUUGAAUUGAGAUCCAGACUCCAGGGAUGAACUGAGAUGACCGAUUCACGUCAAGCAAGCGUACGGGUGCACACUGCCGCCGGUUCAUCCACUCUGAUCCAUGUCCUCUUGAAACAAGACGUCCACAUUUCCCAUAGUAGCAGCAGUUCACAUGAGAUGUGUACAGCUGCAUUAUCCAUUUUUCUUGCUGAAAAUUUUCCAUUAUAUUUCAAAUCGUACUUACCUUGAUUCAGUAUAGUACUGGAGUAGUACGUAGUGUGCAUCUAUACCUGUGAAGGGUUACCAUUUUUUACAGUAUCUCGUGGAAAUCAAGGGCCGAAACAUGAUUUUAA